Molecule: transfer RNA, 74 nt
Filed under: Marmota monax (woodchuck)
Lineage: Eukaryota; Metazoa; Chordata; Mammalia; Rodentia; Sciuridae
Description: tRNA.Ala
Source: RNAcentral
GGGGCUGUGGCUCAGUGGUAGAGCGCUUGCCUUGCCUAGCAUGUGUGAGGCACUGGGUUCAGUCCUCAGCACCA